AGUAGUUUGAUCCUGGCUCAGGACGAACGCUGGCGGCGUGCUUAACACAUGCAAGUCGAACGAUGAAGCCCAGCUUGCUGGGUGGAUUAGUGGCGAACGGGUGAGUAACACGUGAGCAACGUGCCCAUAACUCUGGGAUAACCUCCGGAAACGGUGGCUAAUACUGGAUAUCUAACACGAUCGCAUGGUCUGUGUUUGGAAAGAUUUUUUGGUUAUGGAUCGGCUCACGGCCUAUCAGCUUGUUGGUGAGGUAAUGGCUCACCAAGGCGACGACGGGUAGCCGGCCUGAGAGGGUGACCGGCCACACUGGGACUGAGACACGGCCCAGACUCCUACGGGAGGCAGCAGUGGGGAAUAUUGCACAAUGGGCGAAAGCCUGAUGCAGCAACGCCGCGUGAGGGAUGACGGCCUUCGGGUUGUAAACCUCUUUAGUAGGGAAGAAGCGAAAGUGACGGUACCUGCAGAAAAGCACCGGCUAACUACGUG
RNAcentral lists this ribosomal RNA (486 nucleotides) under uncultured Pseudoclavibacter sp. RNAcentral's name for it is "bacterial SSU rRNA". It matches the Rfam family "Bacterial small subunit ribosomal RNA", at positions 1 to 507 of the family's 1533-position model. Lineage: Bacteria; Bacillati; Actinomycetota; Actinomycetes; Micrococcales; Microbacteriaceae. The record is from RNAcentral.